This 253-nucleotide ribosomal RNA is filed under the name uncultured bacterium. Its description in RNAcentral is "partial 16S ribosomal RNA". It matches the Rfam family "Bacterial small subunit ribosomal RNA", at positions 524 to 776 of the family's 1533-position model. The record is from RNAcentral.
UACGUAGGGUGCGAGCGUUGUCCGGAAUUACUGGGCGUAAAGAGCUCGUAGGUGGUUUGUCGCGUUGUUCGUGAAAACUCACAGCUCAACUGUGGGCGUGCGGGCGAUACGGGCAGACUUGAGUACUGCAGGGGAGACUGGAAUUCCUGGUGUAGCGGUGGAAUGCGCAGAUAUCAGGAGGAACACCGGUGGCGAAGGCGGGUCUCUGGGCCGAUACUGACGCUGAGGAGCGAAAGCGUGGGGAGCGAACAGG